GUUGCUAAGACUGGAUAGGGAAUAAAAAGGCAUCGGUUAAAGAUGAGCUUGCGCCACAUUAGUUUGUUGGUGGGGUAAUGGCCUACCAAGACGAUGAUGUGUAGCUGGACUGAGAGGUCGAACAGCCACAUUGGGACUGAGACACGGCCCAAACUCCUACGGGAGGCAGCAGUAGGGAAUUUUCGGCAAUGGAGGAAACUCUGACCGAGCAACGCCGCGUGAACGAUGAAGUAUUUCGGUAUGUAAAGUUCUUUUAUUGAAGAAGAAAAAAUAGUGGAAAAACUAUCUUGACGUUAUUCAAUGAAUAAGCCCCGGCUAACUAUGUGCCAGCAGCCGCGGUAAGACAUAGGGGGCGAGCGUUAUCCGGAAUUAUUGGGCGUAAAGGGUGCGUAGGCGGUUAGGAAAGUCUAUAAUUUAAUUUCAGUGCUUAACGCUGUCUUGUUAUAGAAACUACCUUGACUAGAGUUAGAUAGAGGCAAGCGGAAUUCCAUGUGUAGCGGUAAAAUGUGUAAAUAUAUGGAGGAACACCAGAAGCGUAGGCGGCUUGCUGGGUCUUGACUGACGCUGAGGCACGAAAGCGCGGGUAGCAAAGAGGAUAUAGAUACCCUGGUAGUCCACGCCGUAAACGAUGAGUACUAAGUGUCGGGAUAAAACUCGGUACUGAAGUUAACACAUUAAGUACUCCGCCUGAGUAGUACGUACGCAAGUAUGAAACUUAAAGGAAUUGACGGGACUCCGCACAAGCGGUGGAUCAUGUUGUUUAAUUCGAAGAUACACGAAAAAUCUUACCAGGUCUUGACAUGCUCUGCUAAGCUAUAGAAAUAUAGUGGAGGUUAUCAGGGACACAGGUGGUGCAUGGUUGUCGUCAGUUCGUGUCGUGAGAUGUUAGGUUAAGUCCUAAAAGUAGCGCAACCGUUGUCGUUAGUUACCAGCACGAAAUGGUGGGCACUUUAACGAGACUGCCAAUUAAACAUUGAAGGAAGGUGAGGAUUACGUCAAAUCAUCAUGCCCCUUAUGAUCUGGGCUACAUACGAGAUACAAUGUCUGUCACAAAGGAAGGCUUAAGGAGUUUUUAGCCAAUCUCAAAAAAGCAGUCUCAGUUCGGAUUGAAGUCUGUAACUCGACUUCAUGAAGUUGGAAUCGCUAGUAAUCGCGAAUCAGCAUGUCGCGGUGAAUACGUUCUCGGGGUUUGUACACACCACCCGUCAAACCACG
RNAcentral lists this ribosomal RNA (1215 nucleotides) under 'Phoenix dactylifera' yellowing phytoplasma. RNAcentral's name for it is "bacterial SSU rRNA". It matches the Rfam family "Bacterial small subunit ribosomal RNA", at positions 159 to 1406 of the family's 1533-position model. Lineage: Bacteria; Bacillati; Mycoplasmatota; Mollicutes; Acholeplasmatales; Acholeplasmataceae. The record is from RNAcentral.